This 511-nucleotide ribosomal RNA is filed under the name uncultured organism. RNAcentral's name for it is "SSU rRNA". It matches the Rfam family "Bacterial small subunit ribosomal RNA", at positions 10 to 509 of the family's 1533-position model. The record is from RNAcentral.
AGUUUGAUCCUGGCUCAGGAUGAACGCUAGCUACAGGCUUAACACAUGCAAGUCAGGGGGCAGCGGGAAGGGAGCUUGCUUCCUUUGCCGGCGACCGGCGCACGGGUGAGUAACGCGUAUCCAACCUUCCCCUUAGUAGAGGAUAGCCCGGCGAAAGUCGGAUUAAUACUCUAUGUUCUUCUUUGAUGACAUCUGAUAUGAAGCAAAGGCUUGCCGCUAAGGGAUGGGGAUGCGUCUGAUUAGGUAGUCGGCGGGGUAACGGCCCACCGAGCCUGCGAUCAGUAGGGGUUCUGAGAGGAAGGUCCCCCCACAUUGGAACUGAGACACGGUCCAAACUCCUACGGGAGGCAGCAGUGAGGAAUAUUGGUCAAUGGGCGCGAGCCUGAACCAGCCAAGUAGCGUGCAGGAUGACGGCCCUAUGGGUUGUAAACUGCUUUUAUGCGGGGAUAAAGUUGGGAACGUGUUCCCUUUUGCAGGUACCGCAUGAAUAAGGACCGGCUAAUUCCGUGCC